UGAGCUCUCAAGGGUGGGGACUGAAUCGAACCUGUUUAGCUCAUUUGCAUGUUCCAGGCUGCCCUGGAAUUUUUAAGCCCAGUAAUCCUGUUCAUGCCCUCCCAUGCCUCUUUGGCACAUUUUUUUUUCCAGCUUGCACAGUUUUUUUCCAGCUAGCCUCUCCCAGUAGCUGUUUUUUGCUUUCCUCAGCCACACCCCCCAGCUCAUUUUGGACUGACCUGACCUCCUCACUGUCUCCUGCCAUGAGUACCCUCUUUUUUCCUGCUUAGGAGGGCUUUAAUGUCAUUGUUGAUCCAUGGCUUGUUGUUUGAAAAACAGCGGACCUUCGUUGUGGGUAUGAGGCUGUACUAUUCCUACUCUUUCCAUUUCUUCCGUCAUGUCCUUUCUUUCUACUUUAUAUUUUCUGCAGCACAUGUUCUACAGAUUCUGCCGUCUGGCAAUGAUCACAAACCAGCUGGCUGCUUCCUUAUAAUGUGAAGUGAACUAUUCUGUGUAUUAUUCUCAAUCUAGUCAUGAUUGUCUCCUCUUUUCUGUUUCUUCCCUUACUUUCCACAAUACCGAUUCUACAAUGCCCUCCAUUAAUAUUGGCACCAUGAAUUCAUAGGGGUGCCAAUAAUUGUUGCACAUACACACCUAUAUUUAACAAGGUGGUUUUUUUUGUUUGUUUUUUUAAAUAUAUAUAAACCUGAGUUGUAUUUCAAUUGUUUGAUGUCCAUGAGAGCAGAGUAUUUCUGUGAAUUUUUUUAAUGCUCAUAUUUACCAAGGGUGCCAAUAUUAAUGGAGGGUGCUGUGUAUCAUUAUGGAGUAUAAAUGUCUUCCUUUUAUCUCCCGGUCCCACUGCUGCUUCCACUAACAAUUUCCUUCUGGCUUUGAGAGACUCAUGUCUGUUUUCUUCUCUCCUUUUUUCCCCAGUAUGUUUGGCUAGUUUGUCCACUCUUCCAUUACCCAUAAUGCCUAGUGUGAACCCAAAUGAAUAUGAAUUCAUCUAUAGAUAUUUCUAUUGAGUAAAUGAUUGAGAAAGUCAAUUUUCAUUGUGGUUUUGUUUGACUUUAUUAACAGGCACCGUUCCAAAGAUGAUCAAAUGUUUGCUUGUCCAAAUAUGUCAAAAAGUCAACACUUUCCAUGGGGUGUACUUAUUUUUUCACACGACUGUAUAUCCUUACAUUGAUCACUUAUGUACACUUAUCCUCCACAUGUAUAAUAUAUCCUCUCUCUGCGUUAAUCUCGAGUCAAAAUGCCAUCCCAAAAAACACCGCUUUCAACUCUCUCCAAGUUACCUCCAUAUUGUUUCAGAUGAUCACCUUCCGGGGGUUCUUUCUUGUGAAAGGCAUCGAUUUGGUCUUUUCCACCGAGAAUGUAAAUCCCCACCUCGUCCCCCACAUUUCAACCUGUUUGACCCCAUCUUGUAUUGUCUUAACUAUGUUCUACAUUCCUCCCUCUCUUCCUCGGAGCCCUCAGACUCAUCCGCAAACAGGAAAUCAGUGAUCCUUCCGUAUCCAUUUAAAUAUCAGGCUCCAAUCCAUUUUUAUAGCCAUGAAUGAUUACCACAAGAGUCUUUAUCAUUGCCCAAAUGUUUUCAUGUGCCUUACAACACUGUUGUGGGUGUGGUCUAGUUUCAAAAUCUACCUGGUGUCAGAAAGAACUUGGUAAGUCCACAGACGAAUGAGAACUUCUUAAACAUACGCCUCUAUAAAGAACAGAAAUCAAACAAAACUUUUACUGUGUUUAUUCAAUGAUUCUUGGAU
Molecule: long non-coding RNA, 1745 nt
Organism: Ictalurus punctatus (channel catfish)
Lineage: Eukaryota; Metazoa; Chordata; Actinopteri; Siluriformes; Ictaluridae
Source: Ensembl